RNAcentral lists this long non-coding RNA (264 nucleotides) under Malus domestica (apple). Its description in RNAcentral is "long non-coding RNA (MDOM_LNC007167)". The record is from RNAcentral. Lineage: Eukaryota; Viridiplantae; Streptophyta; Magnoliopsida; Rosales; Rosaceae.
ACCAACCAGAUCCCACGCCAUCGUUCGACUCUCUCUCUCCCACCCUCCUCAUAUCGUUCGACGAUCUGAAACCGUCGUCGUCCCAACAAUCCCACCCCCCAUUAUUCCCAGAACCACUCCCCUCCUUGUUGCCGCCGGCCUCCAUCUUCUUCAUUCCUCCCCUGCUCGUUGCCGCAAGUCACGGAGCCGUCGAGAUGCUGCCAUUUUUUUCCUGCGAUUGCAGGUCCCAAAGCCGUGCCCUCGAGAUUGCAGGUCCCGUCUGUG